UGUUAAAAAUUUCGUCCAUUUCUAUUGUUAAAAGUUGGCAUGGCUGAUAGAAUAAUCAAAUAGUGACACAUGAUAUGUCAUGUGUACUUCAUAUUGAUGUACAUGAAUUAAAUUUUAAAAGUAGAAAUGAAUGGAACUUUUAACA
Non-coding RNA from Gossypium raimondii (Peruvian cotton), 145 nucleotides. The record is from Rfam. NCBI's taxonomy places the organism in Eukaryota, Viridiplantae, Streptophyta, Magnoliopsida, Malvales, Malvaceae.